CAGUCGCCACGGGAAUACGUAGGUGGCAAGCGUUGUCCGGAAUUAUUGGGCGUAAAGGGCUCGCAGGCGGUUUCUUAAGUCUGAUGUGAAAGCCCCCGGCUCAACCGGGGAGGGUCAUUGGAAACUGGGAAACUUGAGUGCAGAAGAGGAGAGUGGAAUUCCACGUGUAGCGGUGAAAUGCGUAGAGAUUAGGAGGAGCACCAGUGGCGAAGGCGGCUUUUUGGCCUGUAACUGACACUGAGGCGCGAAAGCGUGGGGAGCAAACAGGAUUAGAGACCCCUGUAGUCCCUGUCUCUUAUAC
Molecule: ribosomal RNA, 301 nt
Filed under: uncultured bacterium
Lineage: Bacteria
Description: partial 16S ribosomal RNA
Rfam family: Bacterial small subunit ribosomal RNA
Source: RNAcentral